Molecule: ribosomal RNA, 1395 nt
Filed under: Kocuria sp. AY11
Lineage: Bacteria; Bacillati; Actinomycetota; Actinomycetes; Micrococcales; Micrococcaceae
Description: bacterial SSU rRNA
Rfam family: Bacterial small subunit ribosomal RNA
Source: RNAcentral
UGCAGUCGACGAUGAUGCCCAGCUUGCUGGGCGGAUUAGUGGCGAACGGGUGAGUAAUACGUGAGUAACCUGCCCUUGACUCUGGGAUAAGCCUGGGAAACUGGGUCUAAUACUGGAUACUACCUCUUACCGCAUGGUGGGUGGUGGAAAGGGUUUUACUGGUUUUGGAUGGGCUCACGGCCUAUCAGCUUGUUGGUGGGGUAAUGGCUCACCAAGGCGACGACGGGUAGCCGGCCUGAGAGGGUGACCGGCCACACUGGGACUGAGACACGGCCCAGACUCCUACGGGAGGCAGCAGUGGGGAAUAUUGCACAAUGGGCGGAAGCCUGAUGCAGCGACGCCGCGUGAGGGAUGACGGCCUUCGGGUUGUAAACCUCUUUCAGUAGGGAAGAAGCGAGAGUGACGGUACCUGCAGAAGAAGCGCCGGCUAACUACGUGCCAGCAGCCGCGGUAAUACGUAGGGCGCAAGCGUUGUCCGGAAUUAUUGGGCGUAAAGAGCUCGUAGGCGGUUUGUCGCGUCUGCUGUGAAAGCCCGGGGCUCAACCCCGGGUCUGCAGUGGGUACGGGCAGACUAGAGUGCAGUAGGGGAGACUGGAAUUCCUGGUGUAGCGGUGAAAUGCGCAGAUAUCAGGAGGAACACCGAUGGCGAAGGCAGGUCUCUGGGCUGUUACUGACGCUGAGGAGCGAAAGCAUGGGGAGCGAACAGGAUUAGAUACCCUGGUAGUCCAUGCCGUAAACGUUGGGCACUAGGUGUGGGGGACAUUCCACGUUUUCCGCGCCGUAGCUAACGCAUUAAGUGCCCCGCCUGGGGAGUACGGCCGCAAGGCUAAAACUCAAAGGAAUUGACGGGGGCCCGCACAAGCGGCGGAGCAUGCGGAUUAAUUCGAUGCAACGCGAAGAACCUUACCAAGGCUUGACAUUCACCGGACCGCCCCAGAGAUGGGGUUUCCCUUCGGGGCUGGUGGACAGGUGGUGCAUGGUUGUCGUCAGCUCGUGUCGUGAGAUGUUGGGUUAAGUCCCGCAACGAGCGCAACCCUCGUUCUAUGUUGCCAGCACGUGAUGGUGGGGACUCAUAGGAGACUGCCGGGGUCAACUCGGAGGAAGGUGGGGAUGACGUCAAAUCAUCAUGCCCCUUAUGUCUUGGGCUUCACGCAUGCUACAAUGGCCGGUACAAAGGGUUGCGAUACUGUGAGGUGGAGCUAAUCCCAAAAAGCCGGUCUCAGUUCGGAUUGAGGUCUGCAACUCGACCUCAUGAAGUCGGAGUCGCUAGUAAUCGCAGAUCAGCAACGCUGCGGUGAAUACGUUCCCGGGCCUUGUACACACCGCCCGUCAAGUCACGAAAGUUGGUAACACCCGAAGCCGGUGGCCUAACCCCUUGUGGGAGGAGCCGUCGAA